RNAcentral lists this ribosomal RNA (253 nucleotides) under uncultured bacterium. RNAcentral's name for it is "partial 16S ribosomal RNA". It matches the Rfam family "Bacterial small subunit ribosomal RNA", at positions 524 to 776 of the family's 1533-position model. The record is from RNAcentral.
UACAGAGGGCCCAAGCGUUGUUCGGAUUCACUGGGCGUAAAGGGUGCGUAGGCGGCCGGGCAAGUCUGAUGUGAAAUCUCAGAGCUCAACUCUGAAACUGCAUUGGAUACUAUUCGGCUUGAGGUCUGGAGGGGGGACUGGAAUUCUCGGUGUAGCAGUGAAAUGCGUAGAUAUCGAGAGGAACACCGGUGGCGAAGGCGAGUCCCUGGACAGAUACUGACGCUGAGGCACGAAAGCUAGGGGAGCAAACAGG